CCUACGGGGGGCAGCAGUGGGGAAUAUUGCACAAUGGGGGAAACCCUGAUGCAGCAACGCCGCGUGAGUGAAGAAGGAUUUCGGUAUGUAAAGCUCUAUCAGCAGGGAAGAAGAGGACGGUACCUGAAUAAGAAGCCCUGGCUAACUACGUGCCAGCAGCCGCGGUAAUACGGAGGGGGCAAGCGUUAGUCGGAUUUAAUGGGGGUAAAGGGAGCGCAGACGGCAGUGCAAGUCUGGAGGGAAGGCCCGGGGCCCAACCCCGGAACUGCUUUUGAAACUGUGCGGCUAGAGUGCUGGAGGGGCAGGCGGAAUUCCUGGUGUAGCGGUGAAAUGCGUAGAUAUUAGGAGGAACACCAGUGGCGAAGGCGGCCUGCUGGACAGUAACUGACGUUGAGGCUCGAAAGCGUGGGGAGCAAACAGGAUUAGAUACCCGAGUAGUC
RNAcentral lists this ribosomal RNA (440 nucleotides) under uncultured bacterium. Its description in RNAcentral is "partial 16S ribosomal RNA". It matches the Rfam family "Bacterial small subunit ribosomal RNA", at positions 338 to 795 of the family's 1533-position model. The record is from RNAcentral.